CAGUAGCCACGGUAAUACGGAGGGUGCAAGCGUUGAUCGGAAUUACUGGGCGUAAAGCGUGCGUAGGCGGUUCGUUAAGUCUGUUGUGAAAGCCCCGGGCUCAACCUGGGAAUGGCAAUGGAUACUGGCGAGCUAGAGUGUGUCAGAGGAUGGUGGAAUUCCCGGUGUAGCGGUGAAAUGCGUAGAGAUCGGGAGGAACAUCAGUGGCGAAGGCGGCCAUCUGGGACAACACUGACGCUGAGGCACGAAAGCGUGGGGAGCAAACAGGAUUAGAUACCCCAGUAGUCCCUGUCUCUUAUAC
RNAcentral lists this ribosomal RNA (301 nucleotides) under uncultured bacterium. Its description in RNAcentral is "partial 16S ribosomal RNA". It matches the Rfam family "Bacterial small subunit ribosomal RNA", at positions 509 to 807 of the family's 1533-position model. The record is from RNAcentral.